RNAcentral lists this long non-coding RNA (222 nucleotides) under Lathyrus oleraceus (garden pea). RNAcentral's name for it is "Pisum sativum (pea) long non-coding RNA (PSAT_LNC027203)". The record is from RNAcentral. Lineage: Eukaryota; Viridiplantae; Streptophyta; Magnoliopsida; Fabales; Fabaceae.
AAAGUUUCAAAAAGAAGCACGGAAAAGGGCAUUCGGUAAAGAAAAAAAACAAGAAAAGAAAACCGAGGAAAUAAAAGAAACAAACACAGGAUAUAACAUUGACUCUGAACCAAAAGUCAAGCCAAGCUACAACCUGAAAGACCUGAAAAACCUCAAAAGUGUGUGUGUUAUGUGUAGGUGAUAGGAAAAGAGAGACUAUUCAAACUUGUGAGUGAUAUUGCA